GGCCGAAAUGUCGUUGUCUUACGAGUCUUUAUUUUUUUUAUUUUUUUUAUGUGUAUAUAUAUAACAGGUACCUUGAGAAUUCGGAAUGUCUGUCGUUUAAUUCAAUUUUAAAAUUCAUUGACAGUUAAUAAUGAUUAAAUGUACACUCACUUUGAGCAUGGAAGUAAUAUUACUUCUAUGCUUUGAGUGAGGAUAACAGCACAAUUCCGCGAGUUCUGAUUUGUUUUUCGUAAAUUCUUUUGUUAUAAAUGAGGCCGUUAGUUUUCUCAAUUAAAUAAUUCCAUAUUUUUUUUAAUGUUGGGGCCUUUUAUAUCAGACUAUACGUACGGUAUGUUUUUUCCUCAAUGUUGAAGACCGUACGGUUGUCUAUAGUUGGAUACGACCACCUAUACCAAGUCAGGAAUAUGACAGUUGUUACAUGUAUCCAUUUGUUUGAUGUGAUUUAUCAUUUGAUAUUGCCAUUUGAUUACGGACUUUUCGUUUUGAAUUUUCCUCGGAGUUCAGUAUUUUUUGUGAUUUUACUUUUUUUGUUUGAACUUUGGUGGACAGUUGUCUUAUUGGCAAUCGUAUCACAUUUUUUUUUUGUUUUCAUAUGUAUGUUCGAUGUGUACUGGUAGAUAACUUAUCUUCAAAUCGGUACUUUAGAUCUUUUGUAUUCUGUAGAUAAGUUUCAUGCCCAAUGUACAGGGAAGCAUUUUCCUACUAAUUUUAAGAGUUUGGUCUUGUGUUGUGCUUUUAUACCACAGAUAAAUUUGAGCACUCACAAACAUUUUUAACCCCGCCGAAUGCCACGGUUUCUAGUUUUGUUUUAUAAAGUCAGGAACAAAUUAUUUGUUAUUAUGAGGUUGUCGUUUCUUGUUAUCCACAAGAGAAAAUAUGACACAGAAAUUUUUGUUAGUCUUAUGUGUGUGUGUGUUUUUUUCAAAUUUUUUUUUAUAUGUUACGGAGUUUUGUGUGACGUUCUUUUCGCUAAAUUAUAUAUAGUUAUAACAUUAUUGUAUUGAAUAUCCCCCCCCCCCUUUUGCGUUAAAGACCCAUUGGUGACUAUGGGUUGUUUUCUGCUCUUUUGUCGGGUUGUUGCCUCUUUUUAU
Molecule: long non-coding RNA, 1091 nt
Filed under: Mytilus galloprovincialis (Mediterranean mussel)
Lineage: Eukaryota; Metazoa; Mollusca; Bivalvia; Mytilida; Mytilidae
Source: RNAcentral